RNAcentral lists this ribosomal RNA (450 nucleotides) under uncultured bacterium. RNAcentral's name for it is "partial 16S ribosomal RNA". It matches the Rfam family "Bacterial small subunit ribosomal RNA", at positions 354 to 796 of the family's 1533-position model. The record is from RNAcentral.
GUGAGGAAUAUUGGUCAAUGGGCGCAAGCCUGAUCCAGCAAUGCCGCGUGCAGGAAGAAGGCCUUCGGGUUGUAAACUGCUUUUGUACGGAACGAAACGGUCCUGGCUAAUAUCCGGGGCUAAUGACGGUACCGUAAGAAUAAGCACCGGCUAACUACGUGCCAGCAGCCGCGGUAAUACGUAGGGUGCAAGCGUUAAUCGGAAUUACUGGGCGUAAAGCGUGCGCAGGCGGUUAUAUAAGACAGAUGUGAAAUCCCCGGGCUCAACCUGGGAACUGCAUUUGUGACUGUAUAGCUAGAGUACGGUAGAGGGGGAUGGAAUUCCGCGUGUAGCAGUGAAAUGCGUAGAUAUGCGGAGGAACACCGAUGGCGAAGGCAAUCCCCUGGGCCUGCACUGACGCUCAUGCACGAAAGCGUGGGGAGCAAACAGGAUUAGAAACCCGGGUAGUCC